GCUCCGUUAGUCUAGCCCGGUCAAGGAUGGUGGCCUUUCGAGCCGCAGACACGGGUUCGAAUCCCGUACGGAGCA
RNAcentral lists this transfer RNA (75 nucleotides) under Candidatus Aenigmatarchaeota archaeon. Its description in RNAcentral is "tRNA-Glu". It matches the Rfam family "tRNA". Rfam says of the family: Transfer RNA (tRNA) molecules are approximately 80 nucleotides in length. Their secondary structure includes four short double-helical elements and three loops (D, anti-codon, and T loops). The record is from RNAcentral. Lineage: Archaea; Nanobdellati; Candidatus Aenigmatarchaeota.